UCCCUGGGGGUCCAGUGGUUAAGGCUCUGCACUCCCAACGCAGGGGACCUGAGUUCAAUCCCCGGUCAGGGAG
Bos taurus (domestic cattle) is the source of this 73-nucleotide non-coding RNA. Lineage: Eukaryota; Metazoa; Chordata; Mammalia; Artiodactyla; Bovidae. The record is from Rfam.